Molecule: long non-coding RNA, 1315 nt
Organism: Tupaia belangeri chinensis (Chinese tree shrew)
Lineage: Eukaryota; Metazoa; Chordata; Mammalia; Scandentia; Tupaiidae
Exons: 2
Source: RefSeq, a predicted model, not a curated record
UCUAAGGAGGUCGUUGGAGAGGCUCUCUUUUAUGAAUGAAAAUGAGUUUCCUGGCAGGACCCCAGUCACCUCCAAAUACACGUAGCUGAAUACAGGACUUCACAGAUCUCACACCAGUUCACAGCAGAAGACUGAGGAACGCACCGCGAUUCAUGGUACCUUAAGAGGCUUCUUCUAGAGCUGGCAGAUGGGAAUCUGCGCCCUGCUGCACUCUCCGAACAUCCUACUCUAGGUCCCAAGAAUUAUCUGUACUCUAUUGCAGGGCGAUGCUGCUGCUUCUUAUUUUUUUUUCUUUUUUCUUUUAUCACGCUCCGAAAACCGCAAAGGGAUUUAACCAAAAGGAAGCAAAGGCUUUCUUUUUAUAAAUUCGAUUAGUCAUUUUCACUUUCUCUACCUGGGGACAUUUCCUUUGGGAGGAAUUUCAUACCCAGAGACCCCUUAGUGAGGCACUGUUGCAGGCGGGCGCAGUGAAUUUAAGUGCGAAACGCUCAGUGUGGACGGAAAGUAAAAAAUCACAGGCACUUGCAGCGAAGUCAGUUUCUAAAAGCCGGUGUGGGAGUGGUCUGCAAGAAAGACGAAGUUUGCCGCGGGCAGGCGUAUGGGAUCCUAGGCUGGGGGGGGUGCCGGCUCUUAGCAAGCCCGCCCUCCGAUCGCCACCGCCGAAUUUCCCGCCGGAGUAGGCGCCGGGGCGACUGGUCCCUGCGCUGCACCCGGCGCCGGUCUGGAGAUAGCCCUGGGCGGUGAGCGGCAGGAGACCCCCAAAAUGCGUCUUGUCUACACCGCGACUUAGCCGCUGCGGGAGCAAGAGCGCCGAGGACGCACAGCGUAAACGCGGCCAGAGGGGACACCGGCCCGAGCCUGCUCCCUUAGGCCUCGGGUUCGAAGCCGUGCCAAUGUCCAAGGAGAGUUUAGGAUUUGAGCAGUUCGCAGCGCGGCGCGCGGAGCCUCUCUCCAGCGCCCUGACACCGAGACGCCCGCGUCAGCGAACCACGGAACUUGGGCCCGAGACAAUGGCUCGUAAUUGAUGUCUCGCCAUCAACCAUAAAGACCGAUUCUCCUCUCCCCGCCAUUCCGACCAUCCCUUCUCCCCAUCCCCCUCGCCUCCACCUCCCCUCUCCUCUCCCCGGGCCACCGAGGGAAAGAAAACAAACAAGAAAUUAGCAGGGGACGCCGCGCGCAAAGCAAGACAGCCGCCACCUCGCCGUCGAAGACGCAAAAGAACGAAAAAAGUUAUUAAAGUUUGGAUCUCCCCAAUUAAUUCGUCACUGCUCACCCAUUUUUAAUUAAACGUCGCGAAGCUGCUUUCGCAUGUUCA